AUAACAUCUGAAUAUUCUAUCUCAUGAAGAAAAAGUAGAGACGAUUGUAGAUGAAAAUGAAGAGAGAUUUUAUCUUGGUUUUUAUUUUAUGCAAAAUAUUUUAGUCUUGUCUUUUUUUGUCAACAAUAAUGCAUGUUAAUUUAGUCUUAGUCAGCGUUUUUGGACAUUGGUGCAGUCUGGUCAUCAUCACGUCUUCAUCAUGGAAAAAAAGGUUGUUGACAAACAUAUUUAGUCUUGUCUGACGAAAUUAACACU
Molecule: long non-coding RNA, 255 nt
Organism: Etheostoma spectabile (orangethroat darter)
Lineage: Eukaryota; Metazoa; Chordata; Actinopteri; Perciformes; Percidae
Exons: 3
Source: RefSeq, a predicted model, not a curated record